ACCGCACAUCGAGAGUUGGGGUGACGCUCCAACGCCAACCUGCCGUUCCGGGCAAGGUGGCGCUUAAUCUUGGGAAACCGGGGUUAAGGAUGUGGCCGAUCCGGCAACGAAACGGACGCAG
This 121-nucleotide non-coding RNA is filed under the name Novosphingobium sp. AAP83. Its description in RNAcentral is "SAM-I/IV (S-adenosyl methionine) riboswitch aptamer". It matches the Rfam family "SAM-I/IV (S-adenosyl methionine) riboswitch aptamer". From Rfam's summary of the family: It is found upstream of a number of genes which code for proteins involved in methionine or cysteine biosynthesis. It has been found mostly in the order Actinomycetales. RNAcentral also lists the same sequence under 1 other name. Lineage: Bacteria; Pseudomonadati; Pseudomonadota; Alphaproteobacteria; Sphingomonadales; Sphingomonadaceae. The record is from Rfam by way of RNAcentral.